Molecule: ribosomal RNA, 480 nt
Filed under: uncultured bacterium
Lineage: Bacteria
Description: bacterial SSU rRNA
Rfam family: Bacterial small subunit ribosomal RNA
Source: RNAcentral
ACUGUCACUCCUACGGGGAGGCAGCAUGGGGGGAAUAUUGCACAAUGGGCGCAAGCCUGAUGCAGCCAUGCCGCGUGUGUGAAGAAGGCCUUCGGGUUGUUAAAGCACUUUCAGUCGUGAGGAAGGUAGUGUAGUUAAUAGCUGCAUUAUUUGACGUUAGCGACAGAAGAAAGCACCGGCUAACUCCGUGCCAGCAGCCGCGGUAAUACGGAGGGUGCGAGCGUUAAUCGGAAUUACUGGGCGUAAAGCGCAUGCAGGUGGUUUGUUAAGUCAGAUGUGAAAGCCCGGGGCUCAACCUCGGAAUAGCAUUUGAAACUGGCAGACUAGAGUACUGUAGAGGGGGGGUAGGAAUUUCAGGUGUAGCGGUGAAAAUGCGUAGAGAUCUGAAGGAAUACCGGUGGCGAAGGCGGCCCCCUGGACAGAUACUGACACUCAGAUGCGAAAGCGUGGGGAGCAAACAGGAUUAGAUACCCCUGGUAG